Molecule: long non-coding RNA, 937 nt
Organism: Dreissena polymorpha
Lineage: Eukaryota; Metazoa; Mollusca; Bivalvia; Myida; Dreissenidae
Exons: 3
Source: RefSeq, a predicted model, not a curated record
AAGUUUGAUAAAGCACAUGCAAUACCGUCUAUGAUUGGUCGAUCAUAGAGUUAGAAAGAUAUAAAUAUGGAAUUUUUAUUUCUCCGGAACAGAAAUCAUCACUGAACUCACUGCGUGUUUUUAGAUUUAUAAAAUUAAUAAAUAAACUCUGGGGAAACUGAAUUUUAAUACACAGACGUGCGCUUAACACAGCUCUAGAAGAGAUCAGAUUCCAGCGAACAGACGCAUCGCGGAGACGAUACGCUUCAUAAUGGUGGAUACAAGGGGCCUGGCUCUGGUGGUUCUGCUCGUAUCAAGAUGCGUUGUCCAUGCGAUUCCUAUUCCAACGGAUGAGGCGGAAUACGUGACAAACGCGCCCGCCGGAAACGGUCUGACGAUAGCAACAGGCGACGCGUUUACAAACUGGCUGAAUACCGACGACGGCGAUAAAAUUGGUAUUCCAAAUUUCGUUCGUUUGGCACCCGACAUCAGAGGCUUUCCGAAUGAAUUUGAAUUUGGCGACGAUAGUGGAUCCGCUGCUGCAUACAGCAACCCGUCAAAACGAGAAUUUCCGAGCGCGGGCGAGUGGAGGAGAUUCCUAACCGGAAGUGGCCCGAAUAAGGUUGAAAUUGUGGCUCUGGGGAAACGAAUUCCCCACAACUGCGAACUGGCGAAUAUGACCUUAAGAAUGUUGAUGAAAUACUUUAGCAUAGGCUUAGUCUGCGGCGUGAGGGUCAGAGUAAUUCGUCCUGGGAGAAUGGCCGGGAAGUGAGGAGUUUGAACAUUUGGAGCAUUGUGAUGCAACGGUAAAAAGGCACAAACGCAUUUUUCUUGUACGCGUUUGAUCUUGAUCAAGACACUCGAAUUUGUCAUAAAUUUAAACAAUGUAUAGUUUUGUAUAAAACUCGUAAUAUCAACUUAAACACGACAACUCGAAUAAAAAAAAUAUUGCACCUUU